This 504-nucleotide ribosomal RNA is filed under the name uncultured bacterium. RNAcentral's name for it is "partial 16S ribosomal RNA". It matches the Rfam family "Bacterial small subunit ribosomal RNA", at positions 28 to 523 of the family's 1533-position model. The record is from RNAcentral.
GAUGAACGCUAGCGGGAGGCCUAAUACAUGCAAGUCGUGGGGCAGCAGGGGUGUAGCAAUACAUCUGCUGGCGACCGGCAAACGGGUGCGUAACACGUACGCAACCUUCCCGUUACUGUGGCAUAGCCCAGGGAAACUUGGAUUAAUACCACAUAUUAUAUAGAGAGGGCAUCCUUUUUAUAUCAAAGCUUCGGCGGUAACGGAUGGGCGUGCGGUUGAUUAGGUAGUUGGCGGGGUAACGGCCCACCAAGCCUACGAUCAAUAGCUGAUGUGAGAGCAUGAUCAGCCACACGGGCACUGAGACACGGGCCCGACUCCUACGGGAGGCAGCAGUAAGGAAUAUUGGGCAAUGGACGAAAGUCUGACCCAGCCAUGCCGCGUGAAGGAUUAAGGUCCUCUGGAUUGUGAACUUCCUUUCUCUGGGGCGAAAACCAGCUAUUCUUAGCUAUUUGACAGUACCAGAGGAAUAAGCACCGGCUAACUCCGUGCCAGCCGCCGCAGUAA